AGAUUGAACGCUAGCGGCAUGCCUAACACAUGCAAGUCGAACGGUAACAGGCCCUUCGGGGUGCUGACGAGUGGCGGACGGGUGAGUAAUGCGUAGAAAUCUACCCACGAGUGGGGGAUAGCCCGGAGAAAUCCGGAUUAAUACCGCAUAUGCCCUGCGGGGUAAAGCGGGGGAUCUUCGGACCUCGCGCUAAGAGAGGAGCCUACGUCCGAUUAGCUAGUUGGCGGGGUAAAGGCCCACCAAGGCGACGAUCGGUAGCUGGUCUGAGAGGACGACCAGCCACACUGGGACUGAGACACGGCCCAGACUCCUACGGGAGGCAGC
Molecule: ribosomal RNA, 324 nt
Filed under: uncultured prokaryote
Description: bacterial SSU rRNA
Rfam family: Bacterial small subunit ribosomal RNA
Source: RNAcentral